GAUGAUGGGCUCUAGCUGCAGUCUGGCUCCACUGGUCUGGUGCAGAACAGGCUCUCUGGAGGCGGUUUGUAAGUGUGGUCACAAAAAUCAAUGUUCUGGGAGAACGGGAAGCAGCUCCAUUUUUUGGGGGUCCUUUACACAGCUCAAGGUCUGGGUCCCAGGGUCCACCUUCAUGUUCCACCAAUGAGUUUGUUCACAGGGGGUGGAGUGUGUAGGGGAUGUCCUGAUAUGU
Pelobates cultripes (western spadefoot toad) is the source of this 232-nucleotide non-coding RNA. The record is from the annotation of a GenBank genome assembly. NCBI's taxonomy places the organism in Eukaryota, Metazoa, Chordata, Amphibia, Anura, Pelobatidae.